This 27838-nucleotide long non-coding RNA is filed under the name Medicago truncatula (barrel medic). RNAcentral's name for it is "long non-coding RNA (MTRU_LNC000785)". The record is from RNAcentral. Lineage: Eukaryota; Viridiplantae; Streptophyta; Magnoliopsida; Fabales; Fabaceae.
AAAACUAAUCUUAAAAUCUGCAUAUUUCUUUCAAAAACAUUUCUUAGAUAUAGUUUUAUAUAUACUUUUCUCCAUCAAAAGCUGCAAUGUUAAUCUCAUUAUUGCACUUUUUCCGGGCAUUGUUGACAACAUUAUAUCUCACAUGUUAAUCUCAUUAUUGAGAAGUCACAUGGCUUGAAAAUUCUUAAAGAAAAUUAAAGGAAAAAUGGAAUAAAAGAUGAACCAAAAUGGUGAUGAACUUCCACUAUUGGCAUAGUAAUAACUCCUCAUUCUGUCUUCUUCCCCCCACAUAUUGCCCACACCAGUUCAUACAUUAUAUACAUUUACAUAAUUAAGUUGUAUAAUUAAGGGUAUCAUGUUUUUAAUAUUGAUUUUGGUUAGAUAUUUGUACCAUAUUCUAUAAUUCAUGCUCAUAACCCCACAAAUACGUGGACAUGUAGUAGGAAAUACAAAGCUAAAUUUGGAUUAUUCUUUAUCACAAACUACCAAAAGGUUAUGUUCAAAAACAUCAUAAAAGAAAUGAUUAAAAAUCAAAUAUAUAUCUUCAUUCUUAAACCUCAAAAAGAAAAAGAAUCAAUUAGUGGAACAAAAUCUCACAAUGUUACAAUAGCUACAAUCAAAGGAUUUGAAGAAAUAUCAUAAACCACUUUGGAUCCAUAAUGCAUAAUACUCAAAAUACAAUAUAUAUUCACUUUCCAUUCCCUCUAAAAACAACUUGAAAUUAAAAUGAAAAUAAAUGCAAAAAGCAUUUUGGAGUUACUUUUGUCAAAUGAGGCAACUCAGCUAGGGCUGCUAAGAGGAAAUGACAUAGGAAUAGGACACAACAUUUUACCCUACCCAUCUCUUCUAAUCAUUCAAAAUUUGUCAAGAUGCUUCUAACCAUUUUGCGUAUAUUUUAAUUAGUGGUUGAAGAUUGAAACAGUGACUGAUUCUAACUAUUUGGAGUAAAACAAAGUAAUGGGAGAGAAGUGGCCAGCUGGGAAACAUAAUAUAAUGCAAUUACAUCAAAAUGAAACCAAUUGAAUAUUUGAAUUGGUCCUUCAUGAUGGCUACCCUUUAACAAUUCAAUCACAUUAUAAAUACUUAGUCUCUCAUUUAGCUUUUCACAAUAAUCACUUACACCAAAACAUCUUCUUUUCUUCCAAACUUUUCUUCUACUUCUAAGAAUAUUAGGGAGGUUAAGUAAUAACAUAAGCAUUGGAGGUGCCAAGUUUUUUCUUUCUACCCAUGACUGUUAAGGCCAGUAGCCCCAAAAGGGGUCAUAACUGGCCACCAAUGGCAAUGGCAUUGGCCAUUGUUUUGAUUUCAACUAGUGUGGUUUCUGCUGCUGCAGAUAGUUAUAUUUACUCUUCUCCUCCACCACCUUACGAGUAUAAGUCGCCACCGCCACCAUCACCUUCACCACCACCUCCUUAUGUUUACAAAUCGCCACCUCCUCCAUCCCCAUCACCUCCACCACCUUAUGAGCACAAGGCUCCUGCUUAUGAGUACAAGUCACCACCACCACCAACUCCUUCACCACCACCUCCUUAUGUGUACAAGUCACCACCACCGCCAUCUCCUUCACCACCACCUCCUUAUGUGUACAAGUCACCACCACCACCCUCACCUUCCCCACCACCACCAUACUACUACAAGAGUCCUCCACCACCUUCUCCUUCACCUCCACCUCCUUACUACUACAAAUCUCCUCCACCACCCUCACCUUCCCCACCACCACCAUACUAUUACAAGUCUCCUCCACCACCAUCUCCCUCACCUCCACCACCAUAUUACUACAAGUCUCCCCCACCACCCUCACCCUCCCCUCCACCCCCAUAUAUACACAAGGAUCCACCAUACUAUUACAAGUCCCCACCACCACCUUCACCAUCUCCUCCACCACCAUACUACUACAAAUCUCCCCCACCCCCUUCACCGUCUCCUCCACCACCAUACUACUACAAAUCUCCUCCUCCUCCAUCUCCUAUUCCCAAAACACCUUACUACUACAAAUCUCCCCCACCCCCUUCACCAUCUCCUCCACCACCAUACUACUACAAAUCUCCCCCACCCCCUUCACCGUCUCCUCCACCACCAUACUACUAUAAAUCUCCCCCACCACCGUCACCCUCUCCACCACCACCUUACUAUUACAAGUCUCCUCCCCCACCUUCACCAUCUCCUCCACCACCAUACUACUACAAAUCUCCUCCUCCUCCAUCUCCUAUUCCCCAUACACCUUACUAUUACAAAUCUCCCCCACCACCUUCACCAUCUCCUCCACCACCAUACUACUACAAAUCUCCUCCUCCUCCAUCUCCUAUUCCCCGUACACCUUACUAUUACAAAUCUCCCCCACCACCUUCACCAUCUCCUCCACCACCAUACUACUACAAAUCCCCUCCUCAUCCAUCUCCCAUUCCCCAUACACCUUACUAUUACACAUCUCCCCCACCACCUUCACCGUCUCCUCCACCACCAUAUUACUACAAAUCUCCUCCCCCUCCGUCUCCUAUUCCCCACACACCUUACUACUACAAGUCCCCACCACCACCAAAGGUCCUUCCACCACCAUACUAUUACAAUUCUCCUCCUCCACCUGUUGUGUAUCCUCACCCAUAUCCCUACCACCACUCACUUAUUGUGAGGGUAGUCGGUAAAGUCUACAGCUUCAGAUGUUAUGAUUGGAAUUAUCCUGCAAAGUCUCAUAACAAGAAACAUCUCAAAGGUACAUUACAUUUCUUAGGACCGGACCUCUUUAGAGUAAUGUGUUUAGAGAUAAUGCACAAUUUUUUAUUUUUUUAUCUCGUAAAGGUUUAUUUAUUAUAAUCACAAUUUCACUUUUGUCAAAAAGAAAAACAAUUUUACUAUAUAUAGUUUUAAUCAUUAACAUUUUGAUGUAAAAAGAAUACAAUUCUCUAUUACCUUUUUACUAUGAUAUAUAUACAAAGAUUAUUCAAAUCUAUAUAUCCAACCUAAUUUCCAUCCAAAAAAAUAGAAAACAUAGGGUGCUUUGAACGCCUGCAGCAUCACAUGAAUAAAUAAAAACAAUCAAUAAUCAACCUUGUUCUAAUUUAUUUUAGACAGCGAUUGUUAAGCAUACUGCUCUUUUAAUUACAUUUUUUUUAAAGAUGCUCUUUUAAUUAUAUUGUCCUAAUAUAAUAUGUGUCUUUAUAUAUUACUUGUCGUAAACUAAUUUUAUUAUGGGUGCAGGAGCUGUUGUUGAGGUGACAUGCAAAGCCGGGAGCAAAAUUGUCAAGGCUUAUGGAAAAACUAAGAACAAUGGAAAGUAUGCCAUCACAGUUAAGGACUUUGACUAUGUCAAAUAUGGUUCGACAGUGUGCAAGGCUGCCCUAUAUGCUCCACCUAAGGGUUCACCCUUCAACAUACCUACAAAGCUAAAUCAAGGAACAAAGUUGUACUUGAAAUCCAAAGACAAGUACGAGGUUGUGCUCAAGGCUAAGCCAUUUGCUUAUGCUUCAAAGAAACAUUUCAAAGAAUGUGAGAAGCCUAAGCCUUCACCAACUCCUUACUACUACAAAUCACCUCCACCUCCCUCACCAGUUUACAAAUACAACUCACCACCUCCACCGGUCCAUUAUUAUUCACCUCCAUACACCUACAAGUCACCUCCUCCCCCUGUGAAAGCGGCACCAACUCCUUACUACUACAAAUCACCUCCACCACCCGCACCGGUUUACAAGUACAACUCACCCCCUCCACCGGUCCAUUAUUAUUCACCACCAUAUACCUAUAAGUCACCUCCUCCCCCUGUGAAAGCGGCACCAACUCCUUACUACUACAAAUCACCUCCACCUCCCGCACCGGUUUACAAGUACAACUCCCCACCUCCACCGGUCCAUUAUUAUUCACCUCCAUAUACCUACAAGUCACCUCCUCCCCCUGUGAAAGUGGCACCAACUCCUUACUACUACAAAUCACCUCCACCACCCGCACCGGUUUACAAGUACAACUCACCACCUCCACCGGUCCAUUAUUAUUCUCCACCAUACUACUACAAGUCACCACCCCCACCAUCUCCAUCACCUCCUCCACCAUACUAUUUCAAAUACUAUUACAAGUCCCCACCUCCACCAUCACCAUCCCCUCCUCCACCUUAUUAUUACAAAUCUCCUCCUCCACCAAAACAAAUUUCACACCCUCCAUACUACUAUAAGUCACCACCCCCACCAUCACCAUCACCUCCUCCACCAUACUAUUAUAAGUCUCCACCUCCACCAUCACCAUCUCCCCCACCACCUUAUUAUUAUAAGUCACCACCCCCACCAUCCCCGUCCCCUCCUCCACCAUACUACUACAAGUCUCCACCUCCACCUAAAGAAAUAUCACAUCCUCCAUAUAACUAUAAGUCACCACCCCCACCAUCACCAUCCCCUCCCCCUCCAUACUAUUACAAAUCUCCUCCACCACCAUCACCAUCACCACCACCUCCCUACUAUUACAAAUCACCUCCACCACCAUCACCAUCACCUCCCCCUCCAUACUAUUACAAAUCUCCUCCACCACCAUCACCAUCACCACCACCUCCUUACUAUUACAAAUCACCUCCACCACCAUCCCCAUCACCACCACCUCCAUACUACUACAAAAGUCCCCCUCCACCAUCUCCAUCUCCUCCAUCCCCAUAUUACUACAAAUCUCCACCACCACCAUCACCAUCCCCACCCCCUCCCUACUAUUACAAAUCACCUCCACCUCCCUCACCAUCACCGCCACCUCCUUACUAUUACAAAUCACCUCCACCUCCCUCACCAUCACCGCCACCUCCUUACUAUUACAAAUCUCCCCCACCUCCAUCUCCAUCUCCACCACCUCCUUACCACUAUCAAAGUCCUCCUCCACCAUCUCCCAUUUCUCAUCCUCCCUACUACUACAAAUCCCCUCCACCACCAUCGCCGUCUCCUCCACCUCCUUACCACUAUGUGAGUCCUCCCCCACCAGUAAAGUCACCUCCACCACCAACUUAUAUCUAUGCUUCACCACCACCACCUCACUACAACUAAGCUCAAAGAGCAGAAGCUCCGUUCAUUAUAAAUCAUGUAAGUUUAUCAUCUUCAAUUUUCUGAAUGUGUGCGUGUGUAUUUGUUUUUUUGUUACAAGAUACUAACAAAAUUCUUUUCUUAUUUAUGUUCAGGUUUUAGUUUUCAUCUAGGAAUAAAGGCAAGCUCCAUUUGGAGUAAAGUGAAACUUCUAGCUUCGUGUCCGAAUUCGUUAAAUAAAUGUCGGGAUGUAUCGUCUUUGAGCUAUAAUAUUUCUGAUCCAGACAAUAUCUAUUUUGUUUCUUUGGUGGCAAUCUUGCACUUCCUGGUCUUAGUCUAUUCAAGUGACAGACAAAUCAAAAGGGAGAAGCGAGAUUAAUUUAUUUGUGAUCUCUUUGAUUUAUUUGUGCAUAUAUCAAUAUGAACGUGUAUGAUAUUUUUCUAUUUAUUGAAGAUUUUUUUACUGUAACCUGUUAUUGUGUUUGUCAAAAGGUGUUAAUAAAGAAUCACAUUCAAUUUCUGUUAAAUUAUCAGUAUUUGUUUCUUUCUAACAACUACCAUUCAUGCAAAUGUGGCUAUUAAAAAAAGCUCCAAUGACACAUAAAAAGCUUCCAAACAAUAUAUAAACAAAGAUGCAUUGUUUUCUGUUAAGAAGGGGACAGGGUUACGGUUACUUGUGUACCAAGUUAGUUAUCCAUGCUUUCUUGUUCAUAGGAUUUAUAUGGUGUAGUUGCACUUAGUUGCUAAAUGUAUGCAAGCUUUUCCUUUCUAUAAAUAAGCACACCUACUAUCAUUCUUCUCCACAUUCCUUUCUACUCUUCUAUCAUGAAUUGUUCAUCCACAUAAGAUGGUCACAGAGCACACCUAAUACUCUGCUACUGGUGUAUCAGUUCCUUUCCACCAGAAACUUAUGAUCUCUAAUUGAAAGAGAUCCUAAAGUUUUAAGAUUUCUACAAAAUACAUUAUUCUCAUUUUUGUACAAGUAUGAUACAAUUAUUCCCAAGUAUUAUUUAUUCUAAGGAAUAGAAUUUAGUUGUGGUUUCUCUAUUUAACCAACAUUUAUUUUUAAAUAACUAAAUUUAAAAAAAAAAUCCUGAAAUUAUUAAGUACAUACCUAACACAUUGUAAAAUUUUGUUCCCAAAGAAAAUAUUUUUGGCAAUAGAAUUUUCAGGAACUUCAUUCCUAGGAAUAUAAUUCUAUACUAAGAGAAGAGCUUAAGCAUUGAUACAUAACAAGACCAAUCCAUAUCCUAAUCACAAUCCUACUUUCACUAAAUACUUUCACUUAAGUGUGGUCUUGGAAAGGACAAAUGAAGAAAGACAUUCCAGAGGUAUGGUAAGGGACAAUAUCUGCAGUUAUGCACAUAUUGCAAGAUUGUGAGGAACUACCGGACUGAUUUGAUUCACCAAAAAAUUUGGAAUAAAUAUUUCAGCCCAGAACUCAGACAAUGACUGGAUUGGAACCUUUCAGCUUCUAAUAUCGGUACUGUCCAAGGAAAUAGUCAUUCUCUUUUUGGAGUAGCUGUGAAGGAUUUAUGGAAAGAUAGAACUAAGCUGGUCUUUUCUAGAAACACCGCGAUUGGAACUACUCUAUUUUGGCUUGUAGCCAAUCCGGCUAAGUUUAUUAACAAUGUAGUUUGUACUCAAGCUCACAGUCACGAUGUUGUCAGCAACAGUGGGCAUAUUGUUUAGGUAGCCUGGAAUUUUCCUCCCCAACACUUCUUCAAAGUGAAUAUGAUGGAUCUCUACGGGAUUAUGUUAGUUUCCAGGAUCGAACUCAGAACCUCCUGAUUAUAACUCCUUCAAUGUAUGUCCCUUACCCACGUGGGGCCUCGGCUGUAAUUGUUAACAUGGUAAAAUUUGGCUCUUCCAAUAAUGGUUUUAUCCAAACUCGAGGUUGUUUAUCGUCUCCAACAAUCAGAUUGGAGAAUACUAGUGGUUCAUGCAUUUGAACAAACCAACUGUUGUGCAGAUUUUCUAGUUGAUUUUGUUUUUCCUUUUUUGAGUAUUUUAUUAGCCAAUGAUAUAAGAGGUUGUAGCCUACCUCUUUUGAUUUCUUAAGACAAUCACUUUUGCAUUAGAAAAAAACGACCCUACAUAAAAUUAAUGAUUGAAUUAAGAUAUAACUUCAGUUUGAAAUAUUGUAAAAUUCUAUACCACCAAAAACUGAGAAUUUUAGAACCAUACAGGUUGGUGGAGUGGUCAUCCAGAUAACUUUAACAUAAUUAACAGUCCAAAAAGUAAAUAGCUUUAUCCUUUAUUUUCAAUCUGAUGUGAUUUACUCUUAUCUGUUAAACAUUAUAAUUAAGAAUCCAAAGGGAACACUCACCUAAUCUCUCUCUUUUUUCUAGCUUUUUCACUAAACCACUGUGUCUGUGGUUACCACAUUUCCUUAUGGAAUCAAUAUCCAAUUUAUGUUAAAAACCAUUUCUACAUUUUGUGUUAAAAAUGAUCUAAACAAAGAUGAUUUAUUUCUCUUAAAUUCAACAUAGAUCAUAUUUACAUGGUUCAAACUUUCUAUUACACGGCAUUGACUUAGUUGCUUCACAUGGGGACACAACUAAUGCAUAUAUUAUUUUAUAUGCUUAUAGUAAUUUUAACAAGUGGCAAUGGGGCAUAUGUUUUGUCAAAAAAACACAAAAAACAGGAGGCAUGUGCAACUGAAGUCACUGCCAGCUUGGCACUAAGAUAUAGUAAAAUAAUUGACAUUUGAAGAAAACAAAGACGUUGCUACAUUUCUAUUCAAACAAGCGACAUCAAUAUCAGACAAUGGUGCUACAUUUAAUAAUACUACAGCUAUCCCCAUAAGCACCUCUUAGAAAGAAAAAAAAAUAUCCAUUAAAUUAAUGUUGGAAGAGUUAGCAACAUGUCCUCUCCCAAAAAAACUCAUGUUUGAUUCCUAGAGUCGUCCAUUUCGAAAGAAGCUCAACCCUGAUAAUAAAAACCUAGAUGUUAUGCUGCAGACUUAAAGAUCAAUUUCAUAAUGGAUCCAAAGGGCCUAAGCUGUGUGGGAUACUUAAGGGGGUAUAUUGAGGCUAAGGGUCAAAGAUCUUAAUUAUGGUCGGUUAAAAAAAGAAGAAAAAAAAAUUAUCUCUAAAUAUAAAGUCAACAAUAUUUCAAAUUGCAAGAUACAUUUAUUUAUUUUUUAAAUAUGUAUAUACCUCUUAUUAAUACUUACUAAUUUGUUUUGAGUGAUAAAAAGUUACGAGUUAGACAGAUCAGCACAUAAAAAAAGUAUUUGAAAAACAUCUACCAACAAAAUAAACACAUUAAAAACAAUACUACUUUUUUACAAUACUGUAUGUGAAAAUGACAAAAUCUUGAAAAAGAUGGAGGUAACAUGUACUCUUUUUUUUUUAGAGGGGAGCAUGUACUUUUCCACUAACAAUGUUGAUAAGAAACAUAUAAAAUACUAUUAGAGAAAGAAAAAAAAUAAUAAAUAAAGAAAUAUAUAAAAUACUGAGGAAUGACUCACUCAUGUCAAAUUUUAGCAAGGGAGAAGUGAUAUCACAUCAUUUUAGAAGAGGAAUGAGAAUAGAUAGAUCUAAUUUUUCUAGUAAGUUUGAAUAGUAGAAUCAUACUUCUUUGUCUUUUGUGAAAAUUUCAUAUUAUGGGAUCUAUUACUAGAAUACAGGUGAUUUUAUUCUGGAAGAUUGACUUUUUAUUAAAAUAAAAUAAAAGUACAUUUUUUAUUUCCAAAUGCUUAGUUGUUCAUUUAUAAAUAUUACAUUAUCCAACAGCACCAAACCCUAUUUCAUAACGGUACUCUGCACGUUUCAUUCAUUUACUGGUGCCUUAGUUUUUUGUUACAAACAGACAUUGAUCAGAGGAACAAAUGUAGAGACAAAUUGAAGAUAAUAUAUCACAUAAUAUUGUAGACACACCUUCACAUACAAAUGGGGUAAAGUCCCUCAUAGUAGUAUUAGAAAUAACACUUAGAGUAAAAUUUUGCUAAAUUUAACAUGAAAAUAAGUGUAAUGUAUUUUAUAGGCAGCUAUACAUAAUUAUUAAUUAGAACAAUUUUUUACACUGUCAAACAAAAAUUGAACAAUUUUUUACUAGCUUUAUGCUUUAUGAUGUUUUGAUUCCAUGUGCACAUUUCAAUUUUAGAACUAUUCCUUUCUAUGUUACUGAAAUAAUUCUAUCAUUAGGCAUUGACAUUUCCAUUAUGCGUGCACGUUAAAGUGUUUUCCCAAACAGAGAAAUAUUAAGAAAGGUUAAACUUUUGACUUAAAGACACAACUAAAAUAAGAUCCAAGGAAAACCCCAUUGAUUAUUUCUUGCACAAAAUUAAAAACCCCAUUGAUUAUUUCUUGCACAAAAUUAAAAUGCUAAUAAUUUUUCCUGGUCUAUAUUUUUCUCCUUCCGGGAAAUGGCAACAUCACAUGUUCAUCUCAUAAUUGAGAAAACACAUGUCUGGGAAAAUAUCUUAAAGAAAAGGCAGUAAAGUAAUAAAAAGUGCACCAAAUAGAGAUUAACUAGUACUCUUUGCAUGUCAACUAAGUGGUAUAAUUAUGUAUAUCACAUUCUUAAUAUUGAUUAUCUUGAUUGCACGAUAAGCCCCUCAAAUUGCUCAAUCGAUGAUUGCUUGAUAAGCCCAUCAAAUUGCCCAAUCGAUCGAAUCGUAACUUUCGAUAGACAUUUUUUUUAAGAAAACCCAAUUGGAUCAUAACUCCCCAUAGUCAUUUAUUUGAAAUUGUGAGCAAUUUGAUAACUUAUUGAGCAAUCACCAUUGAUUUUAGUCUCAAUUUAUCCUAAUGUUGUAACCCUGGAAUAAUGGAACAGUGAGUAAAUUUGGUUUCUCCGUCUCAAAAUAAGUGUCACAAUUUAACCAUGUGCACUACUCAUCAAAUCUACUUUGACAACAUUUUUUUUACUAAUAUAUAAAGACAAUGUUAGUACAUUACAUGUUCGAUUUGUCUUAGUUAAUGUUUUUAAAAUAUCGACUUUAUUAUAAUUUUUCUUAAUAGACAAUCAAAAAUAUCAAUUGUCAAAAUUGUGUAUUGAUAUGUAUGAAAAUCAAACUAUAACACUUACUUUGAGACGAAGAGAAUAACUAUUAAAAACUAAUGUUCAAAUAGAAAGAAAAGAAAACAAAGAUUCCAUACAAAGCUUGCAAAAUAGCUACAAUCAUAACCUAGAACAAAAAUCAUGACCACACACUAUAUCCAUUUUCCUUUUCCUAAAAAGCAAUUGAAGAUAAAAAAAAAAAAAAUAAUAAAUAAAAAAAAAAAAAAAAAAAAAAAAAANACCACCAUACUACUACAAAUCCCCACCUCCACCAUCGCCUUCUCCUCCACCACCAUACUACUACAAAUCCCCACCUCCACCAUCGCCUUCUCCUCCACCACCAUACUACUACAAAUCCCCACCUCCACCAUCGCCUUCUCCUCCACCACCAUACUACUACAAAUCCCCACCUCCACCAUCGCCUUCUCCUCCACCACCAUACUACUACAAAUCCCCACCUCCACCAUCGCCUUCUCCUCCACCACCAUACUACUACAAAUCCCCACCUCCACCAUCGCCUUCUCCUCCACCACCAUACUACUACAAAUCCCCACCUCCACCAUCGCCUUCUCCUCCACCACCAUACUACUACAAAUCCCCACCUCCACCAUCGCCUUCUCCUCCACCACCAUACUACUACAAAUCCCCACCUCCACCAUCGCCUUCUCCUCCACCACCAUACUACUACAAAUCCCCACCUCCACCAUCGCCUUCUCCUCCACCACCAUACUACUACAAAUCCCCACCUCCACCAUCGCCUUCUCCUCCACCACCAUACUACUACAAAUCCCCACCUCCACCAUCGCCUUCUCCUCCACCACCAUACUACUACAAAUCCCCACCUCCACCAUCGCCUUCUCCUCCACCACCAUACUACUACAAAUCCCCACCUCCACCAUCGCCUUCUCCUCCACCACCAUACUACUACAAAUCCCCACCUCCACCAUCGCCUUCUCCUCCACCACCAUACUACUACAAAUCCCCACCUCCACCAUCGCCUUCUCCUCCACCACCAUACUACUACAAAUCCCCACCUCCACCAUCGCCUUCUCCUCCACCACCAUACUACUACAAAUCCCCACCUCCACCAUCGCCUUCUCCUCCACCACCAUACUACUACAAAUCCCCACCUCCACCAUCGCCUUCUCCUCCACCACCAUACUACUACAAAUCCCCACCUCCACCAUCGCCUUCUCCUCCACCACCAUACUACUACAAAUCCCCACCUCCACCAUCGCCUUCUCCUCCACCACCAUACUACUACAAAUCCCCACCUCCACCAUCGCCUUCUCCUCCACCACCAUACUACUACAAAUCCCCACCUCCACCAUCGCCUUCUCCUCCACCACCAUACUACUACAAAUCCCCACCUCCACCAUCGCCUUCUCCUCCACCACCAUACUACUACAAAUCCCCACCUCCACCAUCGCCUUCUCCUCCACCACCAUACUACUACAAAUCCCCACCUCCACCAUCGCCUUCUCCUCCACCACCAUACUACUACAAAUCCCCACCUCCACCAUCGCCUUCUCCUCCACCACCAUACUACUACAAAUCCCCACCUCCACCAUCGCCUUCUCCUCCACCACCAUACUACUACAAAUCCCCACCUCCACCAUCGCCUUCUCCUCCCCCACCUUACUAUUACAAAUCCCCACCGCCACCUUCACCAUCUCCCCCACCACCCUACUACUAUAAAUCACCCCCACCACCUUCACCAUCUCCUCCACCACCAUACUACUACAAAUCACCCCCACCGCCAUAUGAACACAAGACUAAACCAUACUAUUACAAGUCUCCUCCACCACCAUAUGAACACAAGACUAAACCAUACUAUUACAAGUCCCCACCACCACCUUCACCAUCUCCUCCACCACCAUACUAUUACAAGUCCCCACCACCACCUUCACCGUCUCCACCCCCACCAUACUACUACAAAUCACCUCCUCCUCCAUCACCUAUUCCCCAUACACCUUACUACUACAAGUCCCCACCACCACCUAAGGUUCUUCCACCACCAUACUAUUACAACUCUCCUCCUCCACCUGUUGUGUAUCAUCACCCUCAUCCCUACCACCAUGCAUUGAUCGUGAAGGUAGUGGGUAACGUCUACAGCUUCAGAUGUUAUGACUGGGAGUAUCCUGAAAAGUCUCAUAACAAGAAACACCUCAAAGGUACAUCACAUUACAUUUCUCAAUUCUUUCAUUUUUAUAGAUUUUAUGUACAUCACUAUUGGCUCGUAGUUUCUCAAUACCAUUACAACUAAACUGCAAGUUUCAGUAAUGAGAUUCAUAUAGACAUGUUUUUAUUAACAUCUUUGUUUCUUAGAAAUUAUACAAACACUUAAUUUAGGUUUCUCCAUGUCCAAUAAAGUAAACAAUUGAUAUAUCAAAUUAACAUAUAUGAUAUAUCAUUUACCUCAUUAAAAUUUAAUAAUCCUGCCUAAUAUAAAGAUUCGGUUUGAAAAUGAUAGUUUAGUGAGCUUCUUUAUAAUAACACUCUCCAAUAUAUUAUGUUUUAAAAACAAUUAUAUUUCUAUUUGUCUAAAUUCAAAUUUGUUAUGGGACAGGUGCUGUUGUUGAAGUGACAUGCAAAGCCGGGAGCAAAAUCAUCAAGGCUUACGGUAAAACUAAGAUCAAUGGAAAGUAUGCCAUCACAGUUAAGGACUUUGACUAUGUCAAAUAUGGUUCAACAGUGUGCAAGGCUGCCCUUUAUGCUCCACCUAAGGGUUCACCCUUCAACAUACCUACAAAGCUAAACCAAGGAACAAACUUGUACUUGAAAUCCAAAGACAAGUACGAGGUUGUGCUCAAGGCUAAGCCAUUUGCUUAUGCUUCAAAGAAACAUUUCAAAGAAUGUGAGAAGUCCAAGCCUUCACCAACUCCUUACUACUACAAAUCACCUCCACCUCCCUCACCAGUUUACAAGUAUAACUCACCACCUCCACCCGUCCAUUAUUACUCACCUCCAUAUUACUACAAGUCACCUCCUCCCCCCGUGAAAGCGGCACCAACUCCUUACUACUACAAAUCACCUCCACCUCCCGCACCAGUUUACAAGUACAACUCCCCACCUCCGCCAGUCCAUUACUAUUCACCUCCAUACACCUAUAAGUCACCUCCUCCUCCUGUGAAAGCAGCACCAACUCCUUACUACUACAAAUCACCUCCACCUCCCGCACCGGUUUACAAGUACAACUCACCACCUCCACCGGUCCAUUAUUAUUCUCCACCAUACUACUACAAGUCACCACCCCCACCAUCUCCAUCACCUCCUCCACCAUACUAUUUCAAAUACUAUUACAAGUCCCCACCUCCACCAUCACCAUCCCCUCCUCCACCUUAUUAUUACAAAUCUCCUCCUCCACCAAAACAAAUUUCACACCCUCCAUACUACUAUAAGUCACCACCCCCACCAUCACCAUCACCUCCUCCACCAUACUAUUAUAAGUCUCCACCUCCACCAUCACCAUCUCCCCCACCACCUUAUUAUUAUAAGUCACCACCCCCACCAUCCCCGUCCCCUCCUCCACCAUACUACUACAAGUCUCCACCUCCACCUAAAGAAAUAUCACAUCCUCCAUAUAACUAUAAGUCACCACCCCCACCAUCACCAUCCCCUCCCCCUCCAUACUAUUACAAAUCUCCUCCACCACCAUCACCAUCACCACCACCUCCCUACUAUUACAAAUCACCUCCACCACCAUCACCAUCACCUCCCCCUCCAUACUAUUACAAAUCUCCUCCACCACCAUCACCAUCACCACCACCUCCUUACUAUUACAAAUCACCUCCACCACCAUCCCCAUCACCACCACCUCCAUACUACUACAAAAGUCCCCCUCCACCAUCUCCAUCUCCUCCAUCCCCAUAUUACUACAAAUCUCCACCACCACCAUCACCAUCCCCACCCCCUCCCUACUAUUACAAAUCACCUCCACCUCCCUCACCAUCACCGCCACCUCCUUACUAUUACAAAUCUCCCCCACCUCCAUCUCCAUCUCCACCACCUCCUUAUCACUAUCAAAGUCCUCCUCCCCCAUCUCCCAUUUCUCAUCCUCCCAACUACUACAAAUCCCCUCCACCACCAUCGCCAUCUCCUCCACCUCCAUACCAUUACGUGAGUCCUCCCCCACCAGUAAAGUCACCUCCACCACCAGCUUACAUCUAUGCUUCUCCACCACCACCAAUCUACAACUAGCCUCACAACACCAAAUCACCAUUGGUGAUAAAUUAUGUAAGUUUACCAUUAUUGCAAUCAUAACACUUGCAUCUUUUCCCACCCAUACACACACAUAUCACAUGUUUAAAUUUUAUGUACUAAUCAACAAAAACUCUUAUUUGUUUUCAGGUUCUAGUUUUCAUCAAGGAAUAAAGUCGUCCAUUUGGAGCAAAGUGAAACAACUAGCUCUCUGUCCAAAUUAUUUGAUGGCCAUCUUGCACUUCCUAAUCUUAUUGUGUUCAAGUGACUGGCUAAUCAAAAUGUGGAAGCGAGAUUAAUUUAUUUAUUAUCUCUUUGAUUUAUAUGUGCAUAGAUUGAUAUUUCCCUGUAUGAUAACUUUAUUUUUAUUGAGGAUUUUUUGUAUUGUACCCUGUUGUGUUUGUUAAAAUAAGUAUUAUCAAUGAAGAAUUACCUUCAAUUUCUUUCCACCUAAUUAGUUCUUGUUUCUUUUAAACAACUAUCAAGCAUGUCAGCAAGGCAAAGCAUACCACUACCACCAUAUCACCAUAAAAUGCAUCAUUAUUCAUUGCAUAUGAGAUAAAUAUAUGCAAACUAUAUCUAAUUAUUAAGAGGGGGAAAAAACUAAUGUACAGAAAAUGUACCUCAAGGCUUCAGGAUAGGUGUUAGAAACCCAAGCUUUUAAUAGCUCUCUCCAAGAAUCCUCGUUUCUACAACUUAAGUUCCUAUAUUAAUCAAUUAUAAUAUAUGAGAAACUUAUGUUGUCGACCAACAAUACAGGUGACUCAAAAAAAUAUUAUAUUUUAAAAGUCAAACCUUGAGCUAUACACAUGUAAGCAUCAUCAAUAUAAGUUUCACCAUUGUUCAUGUGUAUUAUUCCAUAAAUUUUGGCUCAGUUGAGGUUACUACACUGGUUUUCUUCCUAUUGUAUCAUAUAUUUAAAUACUAUGGUGCGUUUGGAUAAACAGCUUAUGUCACAAGCACUUAUCAUGAUAAGCGCUUUUGUAUAAACUUGCAUGAGUUAUUUUCAUAUCAAAAGAUAAACAAGAACAUUAAAUUGUUUUUGUAUAUUACUUAAGUUGUUUUCAUAAGCUAUGUUGAAGAACUAAUGAAAAUUAGCUGAAAAAAGCUUAUGCUGUUUUCAUGAAUUCUCCCUAACAGUCUCACAAUAUUUAUGUCAGUAUAUAAUCAAAUAAGUCAAUCCAAACAGGCCCCACGUCUUCUAUAUUAGACCAUAUGACAAUUUCUUUUCGGUUUAUUCUCAUUAAAAGUUAAAAAUGGUGUAUUUGAAUCCUAUAAUUCUUUGUCAUACAAGUGCAUUCAAAUACAAUUUGAAGCCAUGGUGAAAGUGUUUAAUUUGCAGAGCUCACCAACAUAAUCUAACGUAUAUUUGGAUUGACUUAUUUGAACUUAUCUACUAGCACAAAUACUUGUGAGAUUGUUUACGAAAGUUUAUGGAAAAAACUUACAACACACACAUAAGUUGUUUUCAGCUUAUUUCCAUAAACUCUUCAAAAUAGCUUAUGAAACAACUUAUAUGAUAAGAGCUUAUUCUAUAAGCGCUUAAUUAAGUUUUAAUCCAUUCUUCUUCUACCUUCAUCUUCAGUUAACAAAACGAAUACAAUUUCUGAAAAUUCAAAGUUCAAACACCAAAAAAUACCUAAAAUGAAAAAUUGUUGAAUGAAAGCGCAAAUAGAACCUGGCAAUGCGUUCGAGAAGCACGUGGAGGAGGUGGCGUGGCAGAAGAAUGUGUGGAUUUCAUCGGAGAAUUUCAGUUCUGCUCGCGCCAUUUAAGAAAUUUUGUAAACUUAAAGUUUAGUUUAAGUUUACCCCUCUUUUUUUUUCAUUUUAAAGGAGUUUACCCUACAAAUUUUUGUAUGUUUUUGCCACGUUUACAAAUGAUUUAAUAUGUUUUUAUCCUAUAUAUAUUUAGGGAUGUAAAUGGAUAUUAUGAUGCGGAUAGUGUAAUAUUUGUGUCUGUUCCAUUGGAUAAAUAUGAAAUCUGUACCAUAUUCAUAUCGUACGGAUAUCUGUUUAGCGGGUAAUCCACAGAUUUUGAGAUAUUUGAGUGUUUAUAGAUAUAUUCAUUGAUAACAUUUAUAAAAAUAAAAUAAAAAAUUUGUUUAAUUCUUUUUAGAGACAAAGGUUCUUCAUAUGCAUUUUCUUUUCUUUUUAACAAAACAUAAUAUUCAUACAUUAUAAUAACAACAAAGAUCAUUGACUCAACAAAAACAUAAAUAAAGUUGCUUACAUUUAAUAAAAAUAAAGUUAUUUGAUUUAACAAAAACAAAGCUCUUGCAUCAACAAUCCCAACCACUUUCACUUCCUUUUAAAAGAGUGUAAUAACAAAUAACACUCACAAUACAUAAGGUUUUUUUUUAGGAAGUUGAAUGAUAUUAAGGUUAUUUAUGUAAUUUACUCGGUUUAAUAGUCGGUAUGGAUAUCCACGGGUGUGGAUACCGUUAAAUCCGCAUCCAUAUCCAUUAAUUAGCAGGUAGUUAAAAAAUUCAUUUAUUUUAUCCAUUGAUAUCCAUUAAGGUAUCCGCUCCGUGCCCGUGACGGAUUAUAUCCGCGGAUAUUCACGGGUGCGAAUUUUUUUGUCAUCCCUAUAUAUAUAUAUUAGUCUUAAACUUGACUAUUUUUUAUUAUCAUUUGGUGCUAUAAUUAAAAAAAAAAAAAAAAUAUUGUUCGUCUGAGCCAUUUAGCUACAGGCUAUUACUUUUCUCAUUCUACAUGUUUCUCGCUUGUCCUAUUUUUUUUUUAAUACUUUUUGCUCGAAUUCUAAAAUCUAAACUCCUAUAGGGAUUUUUGGAUUCUAUAAUCCAAAACACGUUGAAACCCAAAAAUAAAAUAAAAAACUAUGUAAUUGAAAUCAAAGAUCUCUACUGCUAAUGCACGUUUUCCACAAAAACUACAAAGUAAUUUCAAAGUAAUUUCACAAAAACUAUCGUAUGAAUAGACAGCAAUGAGCAUGAUAUCAUAAAUAACUCAAAACUUUAUAAAAAUAAAAAUAAAAAAAUGAAUAAGAAGAUGUGAAGAAUGAAUGUAAACGUUGGAGGAUACAAAGCUAUUUAUAGACAUAAAAUGUUCCUAGACUCUAAAGUGGGUCAAAGAAAACAUGAAUAACAUUUACAACUUAAUUAACACAUCACAGAUCAUUCAAACCUUUGGUGUAACAUCAUCGUAUGUAGUCUGGCACAGUUUGGAUUAUACAAUCUGAACAUUUCAUAAGCAGUUUGGAUUAUAUAAUUUGAACUAUCCCAGACUGUGUUUCAGCUUGAUGUUUGGAGGGUUUUGUAUGGUGGAUAACACAAAAAAAUGACAUAAUUCAACAACGUAAAAAAUAUAAUAAGAUAAGUGAUGAUGAAAGGGAAGCCGCACCAAGAGGUGUUUUUGAAUUCGAUCCAGUUGUCCUAUCAACUGACAUAUAUUUCUAUUGGCAUGGCAGCAAGAUCAAGUUUCAAAACGACCUUUUUGUGUUCAUAUCCGCAAAAUAAUGAUGAAAGGCAAGGUAUUCCAAGAAGUGUUUUUUAACUUGAUCUCGCUACCUUGUCAACUAACAUAUUUCUAUAGACAGUGCAGCAAGAUCAAAUUUAUAACAACCUCUAGGUGUUCAUAUCCGCUAAGUAAUUUUUCGUAGUUCUUUAUUGUGAUCUACAAAAAAAAAAAAAAAAAAGAUCUAUUUAUAUAAGUUUAUGUGCGUCGCGAACCAGAUAAAUUUUCGAUGCAUUGUGGACCAAAAAAAAAUUCUAAUUCGGACUAAACAAGAUGAAUUUUCCUUCACCCUAGAAAGUAAAAGUUUUGACAAACACAAGACUGAUUAUACAUUAAAUACAACAAUCAGCCAAACUAAACAUAUUAGAUCACAAAUCUUUCAAACUAACUUCUUCAUUGGAUUCCUCCAAGAGAGCCUUGAUUUAUUUGUAUGUUCUAGGCCGAAUCAAUUUUUUUUAAUAUCUUUGAAAGGGCCCGACCAAGAAAACAUCCAACUCAAUUGGUCAUUUAAUACCGUACUGACCAAAUAUUAAAACAUUAUUCUCUUAUCGCAUUGUUCCUGAGUUUAAUCUAGGUAAACUAGAUGCUUUCAUCUUAGCCAAUCGAUGGACUUUGAUGCUCAACAUUGUCCAUCCUUCUUGUGUCUGUGUUGUUGAGUCGACGGUUGAUUUAGUCCAGCUAAUAUUGGACUUUCCCCCAUUGUAGUAAACUACAGUUAGUUUGGUGUCAGAUCAAUGAUUGAAGUGUUCAUGAUUAUUUGGUGUGGUUUAUAGCAAAUGAAAACAAGCACACCAAUUUAUAGAAGUUUAUGUGCGCCGCGGACUACAAUAACUAUUGGUGCAAUGAAGACCAUAGAAAAAGCAUGUACUUGGCUGAUUUGGAUUAUAUAAUUUACAUUGUCCCUCACCCUACAAAGUACAAAUUUCAACACAAUAUUGAACCAAUUCGGAUUAUAGAAUCCAAUCAUUUAUGAGAUAAUUUCGGAUUAUAUAAUUAAAACUAGUUCACAAUGUGAACCGCAGCUUGGUCAGCAAGACUAACUCAUUAAAAAUGUUUUUUAAGUUGGUGAACGACGCUUGACUGGUCAGCAAGACUUGAAAACAAUUUUCGUACCAUGCAUUAAUGGACCAUUACCCUCUAUGAAAUGUACUUCACAAAUUCUCCUUCCGAAUACCCACUAAUACAUCACAAAUUCUUAUUUCAUCUCACAUUCUCUCGUUCUUUUUACUUCUACAAUGUGCUUCCAUAGUUUGUGUUUCAUACAAAAAUGUUACUCUAAUAUUUUAUGGAUUGUAUGAAUGGUCAAAAGGCAAAAAUUGGCACCAUCUGUUUGGAUGUAAGGUUGAUCAUCAAAGUCUAAUCCACUAAGAGAGGAAACAAACCUUACCCCAACCUCAUUCCCCAUUCAUCUUCUUGCACCGCAUGUUUAAAUGAUACUCCCUCCGGUCCUAUUUAUAAGAGAAAGUUAGGUCAACAAAAGUUGAUGUAUCUGAACUGAAUUUUUAACCGGAUACAUCAACUUUUGUUGACCCAAAUUUCUCUUAUAAAUAGGACCGGAGGGAGUAUUUGUACAACCAUUUUGGUACAACUUUUGUACAACUUUCUCUCUCAUACUCACAUUAUGUUUUUAUUCUCUCUCUUACUUUUUUUCUCUCCAUUGUGGUUGACCAAUAAGAAGGGAGAAUAUCAAGGUUGUCACAAAAAUUGUAACAAAAGAGUUGUUCAAAUAUCAUUACUCUUAUCAUUAUGUGUUAAAUAAUUUUGUGUAAUAAGCUUCAAUGACAAUGUAAAUAUACAAUAAAAGAUAUAAAUUAUUCAUAAAAUGAAAAUUUUAUUCAUUUAUCUUUUUAUAUUUUUGUCUCUUUUAGUUUCAGUCAUUUUCAAUUAUGCAUUCUUAAUAUUAUGUCAAUGUUGAUCAAUAAUUAUUGGCAAAAGAAGUUUUCAUGUUAUAGAAUAUGAAAAUCCCUGGUACCAAAAAAAAAAAAAAUCUGAAAAUCCCUCUAUAGGAUUUCAGAUUUUAGAAUCCGACCAAAUGGUAUUUUGAAGAGAGAAAAAUAGUGUGUCUAAGUAACUCAUGUUGAGAAAAGUAAUAGCCUUAAUUAUGUCUCCGAUAAACAUUUUAUUCCCUUCCGUUAAUCAGUUAAUCCCAAAUGUCUAAGGUGAACCAAUAUUAUAGGUGGUCUACCAUAAACCUCAUAACAAUUUUAAGGUCAAAUACCACUUUUGGUCAUUUUAGUUUGACAGAAUUCUCAAGUUAGUCAUUUAAGUUUCGAAAGUUUCAAUUAGGUCCUUUUAGUUUGACAGAAUUCCCAAGUUAAUCCUUUAAGUCAUAAAAUUCAGGGGAGCAAAGUAGAUACUCCAGUUUUCAGAGGCGGAGACAUAGUCAUGUCAAAAGCAUCCCACAUCCUAUUACCACCUACUUGAACUCAUCAAGCUUGGUAUGGACCAUUCACAGUAACAUGUGUAUGUAGUCUCGUGGAGAUCUGGGACAAUAUCAAAUGGCAUGCUAAGGUGAAUCGACACAAACUGAAGCAUGUUAAAGAUUGCAUCCGGAAAAUGAAAGUUGAAGAAGAUGAACCUGCUUUGAAGAGGUUCAAGGGCACAACAUAGACUUAUUCUCCAUGUUCAAGAUGUAAAACACGCAUUGAACGAGAGACAACCCAUUAAUUUAUUUUCUCCGUUAUUUGUCUUGUGUCAUUUUUGCUCGAAUUUUUUGCCGUCAAUUCUUUAUGAAUUAUCAGUCAUAUUAUAUUACACACUAGACAAUUUUUUUGGUACCUUGAGCCUUUUCAAUCCGCCCUUAUCAUCAUUAUAUCCUUUGCUAAAUCCCUUUGAGCUUCCAUGCAUUAUUUCUUUUGUUUUUUUUAUUAAGUAACAAAUCAUGUCACAAGUUUGAACUUUUAAUGCCAUCUAUUUGAUUUCUUUUAUAGUUAGAUAGAAUAUUUUUAAGAACUUGGUAUGAUUUGAAUAUAUGUUAGGGUUAUAAGGGAGAAAUGUAAUGGCAAAGAGGAAGAGCAAGAAAAGAGAUGAAAGAUGAAGGGACAUUAGGCAGACUCAAUCACGGUAGUUAGAAUGAUUGCCUUCUGUUUUGCAGUAAUUUGCAUGAGCUUCACUUUUCAAGUAGAGUAAAAAAAACAGGAAUAGAUAGACACAUUUCUUCUAAGUUUGAGUAGUGAGUGAUAACACUUCUAUGUAAUCCCUAAAAAAAAACACUUCUAUGUAAAAAAAUCACAUGGGAAAUCCAUUCCUAUAGUACACGUAAUUUUGAUCUGGAAGGUUGACUUUUCAACAAAAUAACCUAAAAUAAUUUGUUCAUAACAUAAUAGAGGAAUCUAGAAGUGUUCGCGGUGCGGUUUGAUUCGGUUUUGAGCAAAAAAGUCAUCCAAACCGCGCGAUAAAAAAACAUGUGGUUUGGUUCGGUUGAUUUUUAAAAAAUCAUCCAAACCAAACCAAACUAAACCAAUACGGUUUGGAUUGGUUCGGUUUGUGCGGUUUAUCGCGAGAUAAAAAAAAAAUAUUACAUUAACUCUAAUAUUUCCAAAUUGUUACAAAAUAAACAUAGAACGUUUUUUUAUUUAUUUUUAUAUGAUAAAAUAUUAGGUAAAACUCAUAUCAAAAUAGGUAAAAUUAAGAAGAAUUUAUAAGCAUGAAACAAAUUAUUGGAAAGUAAAGGAAACAAAUUUAAGUAAUAUUCAUUAUUCUUGCAGCUAUGUAAUUGGGCUAGAAACAUUUUAUUUUGAUGUUUAUAUCGAACAUGAUGGUGCAACAAUGGAAAAAUCAAAUCAAAAAAGAUUAUUCUUGAGCUAUGUAAUUGAGCUAGUACAUAUUUAAGUAAUAUUCAUUAUUCUUGCGGUUUGGUUUGGUUUGAUUCGGUUGCUGAGAUGCAAACCGCAAAUCAAACCAAACUGUAUGUUUUAGUGCAAAAGUCAUCUGAAUUCAUCCGAAAUCAAGUACGAUUUUUUACGAUUUUGAAUUGGUUUAAUUUGCCGUUUUUCUAUUGGAUUGGUUCGGUUUGAACGAUCUGCAUGAAUUCUUCUAGUUGAUUGUUGGACUAUUUUUAAUUGGCAAAGGCUUAGUUGUCCAUUUAUAAAUAUAAAUACUAUUAUUACAUUAUCCAAUCCAAUAGCACCAAAACCAAUAUAAUAAUGGUAAUUUGCAAUUUUGCACGUUUCAUUCAUUUAUUGGUGCCUUAAUUUUGGGUUACAGACCGACAUUGAUCAGUUGCUAAAAAACCACUGCAUCCUUAUUUUUUACGAGGUAGAUGCAUCGGACAAAUAAACCGACAAACAAAGCUAUUCAGAAAGUGCUCAGAAAUUUUUUGUGCCCCAACAGAAAAUAUUAAGAAAGUCUUGCUACACAGUGUCUUGUAUACAAGUGAAAUAUGUGUGGUAUUAUGCACAAGUUUAUUUUUACAAGUUGAUAUAAGAAUCUAAGUAUAUUUUUAUGGAAAAUUAAUGCUAACAAAUACUUUCAAAGCAUUGUUUAAGCAAUCAAUAUUAGUAACUUUUGCAUAGAAAUAUGUGUGAUUAUUAUUUUUUCAUAUGUUUUAUAUGUUUUCAAGAAAAUAUUUUUAUUUAUGGUUUUUUUAAAUAGUGUCCUUAGGUACUUGUUAGCAAAAUCUUAUUUAUAUAAGUUGAUCUAAGAAUCUCAUUAUUGUAUCGAGUGAGAUACGGCCAUACCGAAGCUUAUGGAUUCCAUAGUGGAAAAAUAACUUUUCAUCAGUGCAAUACUAUUUUAGUUGUAGAAUUUCUUUUCUUGUGUGUCCUAUUUCAGAUUUUAAAAUCCAAACAAUCGAAGGUUUAUGAAGGUUUUUCGAACAUUUUCGCACUGUUUGAAUUAUAUGAUCUGAAAUGUCAUAGAACAUGCGAGAAGCAAGUUGAAUGAAAUAAAAAACUCCUGCUCAAUAGAAUUAUUUUACUUGGUUAUUGUUUGAAUUUUAUUCUCCUUCAAAGACGGCAAUGUGCAAUUGUGCAUUUCAUCCGGAGAGUGGCAACAUCUCAUGCAUGUUCAUCUCAUAUAACUGAGAAGUCACAUGGCUUGGAAAAUCUUAAACCGAGAAAAACAAAAGGAGUAAAAGUAAUAAUAGUGAACCAAAGUGAAGAUGAACUUGUAGUCUAUCAAAAGAAGAUGAACUUGUUCGUCUUGGCAUAGUAACUCAUUUUUAUUCCUUGUUACCUAUGAAACACGGACAAUAGAUACAACACGGACACCAAUACGUUAAUACCGUUAAUAAUAUAAAAAAAUAGGUACAUUGAAUAAUUAAUGUAUUUGACCUAUAAAUGUGACCAGAUAUAUUAAUUAUUCAAUGUAUCUAAAAAGUUGGUUUUUGUUUAUAAAUAUGAUCAUAUGGAGUACUACUUUAGUGUAAUUUUAUGUAUUGGUACUGCGAGACAUCUAAUCUAAAGAGUGUCAAUGUUUUCACACAUAUUACUCACCAAAGUGCACACAUUAUAUGCAUUUAGGUAAACUGAGUUCAUCCAAAAUUGUAACCGCACAAACAGAGGGCCGCUAGGAAAUAUGAGGUAAAUUUGGAUUAUUCUUUAUCAAAAGCUUAUGACCAAAGAAAAACUAUACAAAAACUAAUGUUCAAAAAGUACAUAAAGUAAUAAUGCAAAGUCAAUGUGUAUAUAUAUUUCACCAUUAAAUAAAAGGGGAAAAAAAUCUCCAUACACAGCUUGCAAUAGCUACCAUCAUGGCCUAAAGCAAAUAUCAUAUGACCACUAAAAAACAAUAGAAAAUAAACAAAUAAAAAGAGAAAAACAAAAGAGAAAAUGGUAUAAAGAAAUCAUGUAGUAGUUAGUUUUUUCUCAAGAUGGGCAACUCAGCAGGGCUGCUAGGAGGAAAUUACAAAAGAACAUGACACUUAACUUCUCUAAUCAUUCAAAAUUUGUCAAGAUGCUGAUUAUAUAUUUUAAUUAGUAGUUAGAGAUUGUUAUAGUAACGUGUUCUAGCCAUCAAGAAUAAAACAAUGUCAUGGAAAAGAAGUGGCCUACUAGAAGAAUUAAUUUAAAGCAUUUACACCAAAAUAAAAACAAAUUGAAUAUUGGAAUUGGUCCUUCAUGAUAGCUUCCCCUUAACAACUAACUCUAACUAUAAAUACUGAAUCUUGCAUGCAACAUUUCAUAGUAAACACUAAGACCAAAACCUCUUCUUUCUAUCCAUGACUGCUAGGGCUAGUUGCCCCAAAAUGGGGCAUUUUUGGCCACAAAUGGCAAUGGCAUUGGCCAUUGUUUUGAUUUCUACUACUAUGGUUUCUGCUUCUGAUAGCUACAUUUACUCUUCGCCUCCACCACCUUAUGAGUACAAGUCCCCACCACCGCCGUCUCCCUCACCACCUCCUCCUUAUGUGUAUAAGUCACCACCUCCCCCAUCCUCGUCACCCCCACCACCAUAUGAGCACAAGGCUCCAUCUUAUGAGUACAAGUCACCACCACCACCAACUUCUUCACCACCACCUCCUUAUGUAUACAAGUCACCACCACCACCAUCUCCUUCACCGUCACCUCCUUAUGUGUACAAGUCACCACCACCUCCAUCCCCAUCACCCCCACCUCCUUACGUGUACAAGUCACCACCACCACCCUCGCCUUCCCCGCCCCCACCAUACUAUUACAAGUCUCCUCCACCACCCUCGCCUUCCCCACCGCCACCAUACUAUUACAAGAGUCCUCCACCACCCUCUCCUUCACCUCCACCUCCUUACUACUAUAAAUCGCCUCCACCACCCUCACCUUCCCCUCCCCCACCAUACUAUUACAAGUCUCCUCCACCACCAUCUCCCUCACCACCUCCUCCAUAUUACUACAAGUCUCCCACACCACCUUCACCCUCCUCUCCACCCCCAUAUAUACACAAGGAUCCACCAUACUAUUACAAGUCCCCACCACCCCCUUCACCAUCUCCUCCACCACCAUACUACUAUAAAUCUCCCCCACCACCCUCACCCUCUCCACCCCCACCUUACUAUUACAAGUCUCCUCCACCACCUUCACCAUCUCCUCCACCACCAUACUAUUACAAAUCUCCUCCUCCUCCAUCUCCUAUUCCCCAUACACCUUACUAUUACAAAUCUCCCCCACCACCUUCACCAUCUCCUCCACCACCAUACUAUUACAAAUCUCCUCCUCCUCCAUCUCCUAUUCCCCGUACACCUUACUAUUACAAAUCUCCCCCACCACCUUCACCAUCUCCUCCACCACCAUACUACUACAAAUCCCCUCCUCAUCCAUCUCCCAUUCCCCAUACACCUUACUAUUACACAUCUCCCCCACCACCUUCACCGUCUCCUCCACCACCAUAUUACUACAAAUCUCCUCCCCCUCCGUCUCCUAUUCCCCACACACCUUACUACUACAAGUCCCCACCACCACCAAAGGUCCUUCCACCACCAUACUAUUACAAUUCUCCUCCUCCACCUGUUGUGUAUCCUCACCCAUAUCCCUACCACCACUCACUUAUUGUGAGGGUAGUCGGUAAAGUCUACAGCUUCAGAUGUUAUGAUUGGAAUUAUCCUGCAAAGUCUCAUAACAAGAAACAUCUCAAAGGUACAUUACAUUUCUUAGGACCGGACCUCUUUAGAGUAAUGUGUUUAGAGAUAAUGCACAAUUUUUUAUUUUUUUAUCUCGUAAAGGUUUAUUUAUUAUAAUCACAAUUUCACUUUUGUCAAAAAGAAAAACAAUUUUACUAUAUAUAGUUUUAAUCAUUAACAUUUUGAUGUAAAAAGAAUACAAUUCUCUAUUACCUUUUUACUAUGAUAUAUAUACAAAGAUUAUUCAAAUCUAUAUAUCCAACCUAAUUUCCAUCCAAAAAAAUAGAAAACAUAGGGUGCUUUGAACGCCUGCAGCAUCACAUGAAUAAAUAAAAACAAUCAAUAAUCAACCUUGUUCUAAUUUAUUUUAGACAGCGAUUGUUAAGCAUACUGCUCUUUUAAUUACAUUUUUUUUAAAGAUGCUCUUUUAAUUAUAUUGUCCUAAUAUAAUAUGUGUCUUUAUAUAUUACUUGUCGUAAACUAAUUUUAUUAUGGGUGCAGGAGCUGUUGUUGAGGUGACAUGCAAAGCCGGGAGCAAAAUUGUCAAGGCUUAUGGAAAAACUAAGAACAAUGGAAAGUAUGCCAUCACAGUUAAGGACUUUGACUAUGUCAAAUAUGGUUCGACAGUGUGCAAGGCUACCCUUUAUGCUCCACCUAAGGGUUCACCCUUCAACAUACCUACAAAGCUAAAUCAAGGAACAAAGUUGUACUUGAAAUCCAAAGACAAGUACGAGGUUGUGCUCAAGGCUAAGCCAUUUGCUUAUGCUUCAAAGAAACAUUUCAAAGAAUGUGAGAAGCCUAAGCCUUCACCAACUCCUUUCUACAACUCACCACCUCCACCCGUCCAUUAUUACUCACCUCCAUAUUACUACAAGUCACCCCCUCCCCCUGUGAAAGCGGCACCAACUCCUUACUACUACAAAUCACCUCCACCACCCGCACCGGUUUACAAGUACAACUCCCCACCUCCACCAGUCCAUUAUUAUUCACCACCAUAUACCUACAAGUCACCUCCUCCACCUGUGAAAACGGCACCAACUCCUUACUACUAUAAAUCACCUCCACCACCCGCACCGGUUUACAAGUACAACUCCCCACCUCCACCGGUCCAUUAUUAUUCACCACCAUAUACCUACAAGUCACCUCCUCCACCUGUGAAAACGGCACCAACUCCUUACUACUAUAAAUCACCUCCACCACCCGCACCGGUUUACAAGUACAACUCCCCACCUCCACCGGUCCAUUAUUAUUCACCACCAUAUACCUACAAGUCACCUCCUCCACCUGUGAAAACGGCACCAACUCCUUACUACUAUAAAUCACCUCCACCACCCGCACCGGUUUACAAGUACAACUCCCCACCUCCACCGGUCCAUUAUUAUUCACCACCAUAUACCUACAAGUCACCUCCUCCACCUGUGAAAACGGCACCAACUCCUUACUACUAUAAAUCACCUCCACCACCCGCACCGGUUUACAAGUACAACUCCCCACCUCCACCGGUCCAUUAUUAUUCACCACCAUAUACCUACAAGUCACCUCCUCCCCCUGUGAAAGUAGCACCAACUCCAUACUACUACAAAUCACCUCCACCUCCUGCACCGGUUUAUAAGUACAACUCACCUCCUCCACCAGUCCAUUAUUAUUCUCCUCCAUACUACUAUAAGUCACCACCCCCACCAUCACCAUCCCCUCCUCCACCUUAUUAUUACAAAUCUCCUCCUCCACCGAAAGAGAUUUCACACCCUCCAUACUACUAUAAGUCACCACCCCCACCAUCCCCAUCACCUCCUCCACCAUACUAUUACAAGUCCCCCCCUCCACCAUCACCAUCUCCACCACCACCAUACUAUUACAAGUCACCACCUCCACCAUCUCCAUCUCCUCCUCCACCAUACUAUUAUAAGUCACCACCUCCACCAUCCCCAUCCCCUCCUCCACCAUAUUACUAUAAGUCACCAGCUCCACCAUCCCCAUCCCCUCCUCCACCAUACUAUUAUAAGUCCCCACCUCCACCGUCACCAGCUCCACCACCACCUUACUAUUAUAAGUCACCACCCCCACCAUCACCAUCCCCUCCCCCUCCAUAUUAUUACAAAUCUCCUCCACCACCAUCCCCAUCACCACAACAUCCCUACUAUUACAAAUCACCUCCACCACCAUCGCCAUCACCACCACCUCCCUACUAUUACAAAUCACCUCCACCACCAUCACCAUCGCCUCCACCUCCAUACUACUACAAAAGCCCCCCUCCACCUUCUCCCUCUCCUCCUCCCCCAUAUUACUACAAAUCUCCACCACCACCAUCACCAUCACCACCCCCUCCCUACUAUUACAAAUCACCUCCACCACCGUCACCAUCACCGCCACCUCCUUACUAUUACAAAUCUCCCCCACCUCCAUCUCCAUCUCCACCACCUCCUUAUCACUAUCAAAGUCCUCCUCCACCAUCUCCCAUUUCUCAUCCUCCCUACUACUACAAAUCCCCUCCACCACCGUCUCCAUCUCCUCCACCUCCGUACCAUUACGUGAGUCCUCCCCCACCAGUAAAGUCUCCUCCACCAUCAGUUUACGUUUAUGCUUCUCCACCACCACCCAUCUACCAUUAAUCUCGGAACACCAAAGCACCAUUGAUGAUAAAUCA